CGAAGGCGGGAAAUUUAGAUUCUGGUAAAAAUAACUAUUUUUGAGGAUUUUAAAAACCUAUAGGCACCAAUUAAGCCUGGUAAACAGAAAUGGAAGAAAAAAGUGCUUUCUGCGGCGAUAAAAACUUGCUGAAUUUAAGUUAGUUUGGAAGAAUACUAUUUGAAUAAGUCAUGACAUCUCGAAGGAUUCAGCGAGUUUCCGGGAUUCGUUCAGAAUUCAUCACCAGAUUAACAAAGAAUCGUGUCUUAACUUGUAAGGAUCUGUUGUCAAAGAAUCCACUUGAGCUACUAAAAUUCACUGGUGCUAGUUACAGGGAAGUACAAGAAAUACAAAGAGCUGCAAGCAAGGCUGUUGUACCAAAAGUUUCAACUGCUCUUGAACUUCGACAGAACUCAUCUAGUCAAGCAGCAUUUUUCCCAACCUCUCUUCUACCUCUUGAUAAGCAAUUACAUGGUGGUUUACCAUGUGGGACCAUAUCUGAAAUAACAGGACCUGCUGGUUGUGGCAAGACACAGUUCUGCAUCAUGCUUAGUAUCCUAGCAACCCUACCAGUAGACAAAGGGGGAUUGGAAUCCAAUGUUAUCUAUAUUGAUACAGAAGCAGCAUUUAGCGCUACUAGGUUAGUUGAAAUGGCUGAAAGUCGUUUUCCUGAACUUUUCGACUCUCAGAGCUCUGUGCUGGCCCUCACAGAGAAGAUCCAUGUCUUCUGGGAACCAACCUGCAGUGCCUUAUGGGAAAGGCUACAGACAUUAGAAGAAGAGGUCAUAGCUAAGAAAGUAAAGCUAAUUGUAUUGGAUUCCAUAGCAUCUGUAGUAAGGAAGGAAUUCGAUAGCAGAUCAUCAAAGAAUAUUACUGAAAGGACUAAUUUAUUAUCCAAGGAGGCAGCUAUACUAAAGUAUAUUGCAGAGACUUUCAACAUACCGGUUGUAGUAACCAAUCAAAUAACUACUCGAUACAAUGAAGUAGACCCAUACAGUGACAAAAUCCUUCAAGAAGUGGCCGACUUAGAUGGCGGAGACAUAGAGACUGACGAUGAUGGCUCAAGUCACGUGAUGGCUGCCUUGGGUAACACGUGGUCUCAUGCUGUUAAUACCCGACUCAUUGUCCAGUACUUGGAUGAUUUGUACAGACAGAUUAUAGUAUCCAAAUCCCCAAUAGCUCCAUUUGGUAUCUUUACUUAUACCAUUCAGACCAAAGGCGUGGUGUUGGUGGAGCCAGCCAAAGCUGCUAAGUUGCAUUCAGACAAAGAUCGACUUCAAAGUUCUGGGAAUCCUUCACUUCAACCAAUUCAAGUACGCUCUAGCUUCACCUGGUCGGAUUAAUGAAAUCUUUGGCUAUACUAUAAGUAGAGAGUAAAUACAAAAUAGAGAAAGAAAAAAUGAACCUCAACUUACCAGGAAUUGUAGUGUAACCGAAAGGAAGGUAAACGAGAACAAGAAGUAACCAAGCCGGACGACUGCAGAGCUGGUAAUCAAAUAUUGUUCAGGUUCUCCAGUUCGAGGGCCACACAGGAUUGUUAGCCACUGGCUACCCUCGUAAAACAAGGACGAUUUUAAUUUCAUUAUGUUAGAUAUUCCUUUUCUUCUAGAAUAAAGUGAUGUGCAAUCAUACAA
RNAcentral lists this unclassified non-coding RNA (1613 nucleotides) under Actinia tenebrosa (Australian red waratah sea anemone). RNAcentral's name for it is "dNA repair protein RAD51 homolog 2-like, transcript variant X5". The record is from RNAcentral. Lineage: Eukaryota; Metazoa; Cnidaria; Anthozoa; Actiniaria; Actiniidae.